This is a long non-coding RNA of Megalobrama amblycephala (Wuchang bream), 3880 nucleotides long. RefSeq lists it as uncharacterized. The transcript is spliced from 4 exons. Lineage: Eukaryota; Metazoa; Chordata; Actinopteri; Cypriniformes; Xenocyprididae. The record is from RefSeq and is a predicted model, not a curated record.
CGAUGUGCUGCAAAAGAGUAAACAGUUAGAAAAGUUAGAAAACUUAUUUAAAUGCAAUCAAACUUGAUUUAACCAAACGCUUUUUUUGAGUAAAUGUUGGCUUACUUCGUAAUAUGCCAUGUUUAAAACACUCCUCCGGUGCUGUCAGUCUCCAGAUAUUCUACACUGACUUUCUAAACUGCUGUGGCGCUCAGAUGAUUUUAAAUACCCCACUAGUGCGCUGAAACUCCGCCUACUCACACACGCAAUCCACAGCGGCACGCGCGCGCUCGGGUCUCAGAGAACAGAUCUACCAGGCAGCGCGGUGGUGCCUUGAAGUCUAUACGCUGGCCACUAAAGUUCCAGCCUCAAGGCGACAGAAAACAAAUCACUGCUUGGCCAAGCCAUUCAUAGAGCUUGUUUGGUCAUGGAGACAGCUGAAAAGACUAUUAAGGGGGAACAGAGUCUGUGACAGACCCGCAUUAAUUAAAAGCCAAUUGGAGACGAAGCAAAGACUAGCCGAUUCACUGCUACGCUGAAUUAUCCAGGUCUUUGAGAGGAUUAGAUGGGCUGAUCUGAGGACUGAUAUGGAUCCCUCCUGUCUGUCAUUUGCAUCCUUUGUGGAAGGACAUUCACUGCUCUGUGUGUAUAUGUGUGGAUGGGGGUGGGGGGGCUUCAUGUUAAUGACCAGAACAUUUACUGUCAAACGUAAGUACGCAGAAGGCCACACACAAACAUUUUGUAUGUUGGGGUGGGGUUAUUUCCUUAACAGACGUUUAACUCAUUUUUGCCCUAUAUUUGGUUUGGCAUAGAAGUGUCUCCUCCCAUCUUUUCAGACAAGUAUUGAUCAUGAACCACUCCUAUCUGAGUGAUAUAGAAAGAGCGCCUCCUUGAAAAAUGUCUGCAGCUUUAUACAUUAUGACUGGAAACAAAACUUGCACUCUGAAUUUGGUUUAUUUGGGUCACGUUUGCAUUCAUUAAUCAGACACCUUUGCACAUCGACAAGUAAACCACAAGUACACAACUGAAAAUGAGUCACCAAGGCUGAAUUUAUUUGAUCAAAAAUACGUUUUCUAUUUGAAUAUAUUAUAAAAUGUCAUUUAUUCCUGUGAUGGCAAAGCUGAAUUUUCAGCAGAUCCCGCAGAAAUGUGCAUGUGCUUAAUGAAAUGCAUGGUUUAUUACAGUGAUGUCUGGCAAUUGGCAAAAAACAAUAGAGCUACUUUGGUAUUAAAUGUGCUUUAGGCUGGCUCAGUGUCUCUAAUUGGCCGAUAAGAUCCAUCUAAUUCAUUCAUAUGGAUAUUCUGUCACACCAGAGGGAUUACAAUGCAACAAUGAUCUGACUUUAACCUUUGUCAGUAAUGAGUGUAAUUACAUCACCAUGGUAACACAAGUUCAACACUGAGAUGAGACUGAGAGAGGACCAAGUCAUAGAAGCUUAUAAGAAAAUCUUUGAUUGUUAAGAACAGACUCUUACAGGGUAAACACACAAACACAUCUAGAGGUUUCCGCUCUCAGUGUGUCUGACAGAUUUCAGUGAACAGAUGUUUGUCUGCUGUCCAGGUGCUUGUUGUUCACCUCUGAACAUUCACUGCUAGUCAGUUCCUCAGAAUCACAGUGUGUGUCUACCUGCCUUUUGUUGUUUCAACCAAGUUACGGCCACAUCGCUGAAGAAGAGGGUCUUGAAGUAAAAGAUUUGUGGUUGAGGCUGGGGUGUGGUGUUGGCAUAUGCCCGUCUGAGUAUGAGUAUGUCUGUUUACAUCAAACGUACGUCUGGGUGUGGAUGGGGCUGCAUAUGUGUGGGAAGAUUGAGUAGAAAGGCAAGGGGUAUAUGAGACUUGAGAUCAGCUUUUUUUUUCUCACUGCGAUAGCGUGCGACUGAGUGUACCAAGCAAAACCGCAGCUUCCUGAUUUUUUUUGACACUUAUUUGUGCCUUCAUAUCUCAGCAAUACAGAGUUAUUUUGGAAUCAUGUUAUGUUAUGUAACAGGUCUUCAUGUUUUUAGCACACAACACACACUAUGAGGCAUCUCAGUUACAAUCUGCCUUGAAUGUUCUUACUUUGAAAAUGAAUGGCAUAUUAAAGCUUUAUUCUUUUUUUAGAUGUCUUCAACAUGCUCUUAAUGUAGCACACAUUGCAUGUUGUGCCUUUUGUGACUCCCUGCCUAAUUAUAUACCCACCCUUACGAAAAAUAAGUAUGCUUCAAGUUCAUUUAAGUAUACUCAAUAAUGUUCAAGUAUAUUUUUUAAGUAUACUUUAUGUAGUAAGUAUACUAUAGUAGUAAACUUGUAAGUGUACUAUUUCAAUACUGCUUGGGACUAAAUUCACCCAAUUUUAGUAGGCUAUAUAGAAGUAUACGUUUAACUUUAAGUGCACAGCUACGUUUCUCAUUUGUACCGCAUCUAGAGCUAGAAGUUAAAUAUUUUAAUACUUGUAGCACAUUUGUUAGUUUAUGAAAGUACACUUUGAAGUGUACUCUCAGUAAACUUUUAAAGUAGUUGUAAUAUAGUUUUCUUUAAGUGAAUAACAUCAUACUUAUAGUUUGCUAUUUAUAUGUUAUUUUUGCACUUUAGGUAUGUUCCUUUUUAGUAUUACAUUUUUAUAGAAAGAAAGAGUAAAGCAGAUUUGAAGUAAAUUUCUAUAUCUGUGGACUAGCCUACGCAAAAAUUCUGAAUUAGGAAUAAAUCUGUUUUCUUAAUCAAUCAUUCUUAAUCAAAGUUUAUUAGACAGUAUGUAAAACUAUGUGGAAAAAGUAUAUUUAAUAAGCUACUCAAUCAAAAGAUUAAACUCAAUUACAAGCUAAUUAUAUUUAGAAUACUUUGUUUUUAAAUAUCUCAAUCCAAAGAUUGAUAUAGUUCAAAUAUACUGAGACCUUUCUGUUAGUAAUUCAACAUUCAAGUAUACUUACGUGUAAUUUAGAUAAGUAUAUCAAGUAUAUUUCUGAGAAGUAAAUAAAAAGUAGACUGAAAGUAUACUUUCUUAUUUUUUAAGUUUAAAAGAAGUAUACUAAUAAUAGCACACUGAGAUAACCACCAUCAAUGUUUUCUCUGUCAGUGGCGCCAUCCUUUGGUAAUAAAUUGCUACUACUCAAUUCCGUCACUUACACAACAAUAGCAUGACAUUAAAAAAAAAAAAAAAAUAGCUAGUUGUGUUGUAUUAAAUCAAAUAUUUUGCAUUAUGCUGUACUCUUAGAACUACAGUAAAAGAAACAUCUGAAGACCAAACUUAAAGAGAGACCGGUUAAGAUCAGCAAAUCCUCUUCCUCAAGUCUGUCACUUACACAAUUAAAAAAAAAAGUAAACUGUGUAUUAUAUUUUAAAUUGUAUGCAUUGUGCUGUACUGUUUCUGCUGGAAAUGAAACAUCUCAAGUGACUUAAAGAUGAUUAAAAACUGGUGUUUAGCUGGUCGGCAACUGCACAACAACAACAACAAACAACUAGUGUUGUAGUACUCGAGAGUACUCGAGGUCUUGGUCUUUUCUUGGUCUUGGACGCAUUUGUACUCGUUCUUGUCUUAGUCUCAGACUGAGAGGACUCAGGAUUUUGUUUCAAGACCACAACUACGGGGAUAUCACUAAAUUGCAGGUGCAUUGUCUGAUUUAUUUAUUAACAUCGUUAAUGAUGUAAUUGGAUGUAAAACAUCCUGGUUCAAAUGCAGUUAAUAAUGCAAAUUGCAAUUUGAUUUAUAUAUUGUGCUGGAUCAGAAAUUAAUAAGGUAUUGUGUCAAAAUUAAUACAAAUGCUCACAAAAUUCAAGAUACUGUUGCAAUAGAGUACUUGUGAGAUGAGAUCAGGAUUUUUAUAUUAUAAAGGGAUAGUUUGCCCAAAAAUGAAAUUUCUGUCAUCAUUUACUCACCUGUAGAUUGUUCCAAACCGGUAUAAAUGUAUUUGUUCUGUUGAAAACAA